RNAcentral lists this ribosomal RNA (430 nucleotides) under uncultured bacterium. RNAcentral describes it as "partial 16S ribosomal RNA". It matches the Rfam family "Bacterial small subunit ribosomal RNA", at positions 29 to 506 of the family's 1533-position model. The record is from RNAcentral.
AACGAACGCUGGCGGCAGGCCUAACACAUGCAAGUCGAGCGCCCUUUCGGGGGAGCGGCGGACGGGUGAGUAACGCGUGGGAAUAUGCCCUUCUCUACGGAAUAGCCUCGGGAAACUGAGAGUAAUACCGUAUACGCCCUGUGGGGGAAAGAUUUAUCGGGGAAGGAUUAGCCCGCGUUGGAUUAGGUAGUUGGUGGGGUAAUGGCCUACCAAGCCGACGAUCCAUAGCUGGUUUGAGAGGAUGAUCAGCCACACUGGGACUGAGACACGGCCCAGACUCCUACGGGAGGCAGCAGUGGGGAAUCUUAGACAAUGGGGGCAACCCUGAUCUAGCCAUGCCGCGUGAGUGAUGAAGGCCUUAGGGUUGUAAAGCUCUUUCAGCUGGGAAGAUAAUGACGGUACCAGCAGAAGAAGCCCCGGCUAACUCCGU